Molecule: non-coding RNA, 263 nt
Organism: Pelobates cultripes (western spadefoot toad)
Lineage: Eukaryota; Metazoa; Chordata; Amphibia; Anura; Pelobatidae
Source: the annotation of a GenBank genome assembly
CUUACUUCUUCGUAGAAUGCAAUUAGGUACGUUUGACUAUGUAACUAAUUAUUCUCUACUGCCCCAGACUCCUUUUUGUUUUUUUGAUACAGGGAGAAAGCUGUGGAUAUCAUAUAAAUUCUUAAAUAGCUGGUAAAUAUGGCACAUGUUAUUCAAAAGUACCAAUUAGUUUUAUGAACAUGCAAGAAUGAAGCUAGUAUGCCCGCAAACAAGACCCAUAGUAGACCUAUUAACUGGCUGAAUAAUUUAAUUCAUGUUUUUUU